GAUGAACGCUGGCGGCGUGCCUAACACAUGCAAGUCGAACGGAGUUAUUAUUAUGAAGUUUUCGGAUGGAUUAAUAAUAACUUAGUGGCGGACGGGUGGGUAACGCGUGGGUAACCUGCCUCAUACAGGGGGAUAACAGUUGGAAACGACUGCUAAAACCGCAUAACAUUGCGACGUCGCAUGACGAUGCAAUUAAAUAUUUAUAGGUAUGAGAUGGGCCCGCGUCUGAUUAGCUAGUUGGUGAGGUAAUGGCUCACCAAGGCGACGAUCAGUAGCCGGCUUGAGAGAGUGACCGGCCACAUUGGGACUGAGACACGGCCCAAACUCCUACGGGAGGCAGCAGUGGGGAAUAUUGCACAAUGGGGGAAACCCUGAUGCAGCGACGCCGCGUGAGUGAAGAAGUAUUUCGGUAUGUAAAGCUCUAUCAGCAGGGAAGAAAUUGACGGUACCUGACUAAGAAGCCCCGGCUAACUACGUGCCAGCCGCCGCCGUAA
RNAcentral lists this ribosomal RNA (494 nucleotides) under uncultured bacterium. RNAcentral's name for it is "partial 16S ribosomal RNA". It matches the Rfam family "Bacterial small subunit ribosomal RNA", at positions 28 to 523 of the family's 1533-position model. The record is from RNAcentral.